CCAUCUUCUUCGGGGAGAGGGAUGAGAACCUUCGAUCAAGGUUCGAGUCGAACAUCGCGAGACAACGCGCGCAAGCGCGGCCCGCAGGGUGAAACAUUCUUCUAAACCUGCUUCCCGCUUUU
RNAcentral lists this small RNA (122 nucleotides) under Pantoea ananatis. RNAcentral's name for it is "RtT sRNA". It matches the Rfam family "RtT RNA". Rfam says of the family: This family represents a bacterial cis-regulatory element known as RtT RNA. The record is from RNAcentral. Lineage: Bacteria; Pseudomonadati; Pseudomonadota; Gammaproteobacteria; Enterobacterales; Erwiniaceae.